RNAcentral lists this unclassified non-coding RNA (6105 nucleotides) under Orussus abietinus. RNAcentral's name for it is "tyrosine-protein kinase-like otk, transcript variant X1". The record is from RNAcentral. Lineage: Eukaryota; Metazoa; Arthropoda; Insecta; Hymenoptera; Orussidae.
CUCGCGCGUCGCUUCGUUUCGAUCGGGUUACUCCGGUUUACUCGGUGUGACUCUCAGGGCGGGGAGGUACGUCGCUUCGAGUGGAAAAUGAAGACAUGAAGAAGUCGAUUCGUCCGUGCACUAGCGUUCUCGCCCGAUCUCGUGGCCACCCGUCGCCCUUGUCAUUCCCAUCCAAGAUGCUGCUCUUGGUGUGCCUGCAGCUCGUCAAUCUGCUCGCACCGAUCGUCGCCCAGGACGGCGGCCUCUUCUUCUCCGUGAGUCCCGCCGAUCAUUCCGUGGUCGAGGGCUUUCCGGUUCGGCUGAGGUGCGAAGCUCAUCCGAGGUCGGGGGUCAAGUACUCGUGGAAGAUCGAGGGACAGCCCCUGGCCCCCAGCCCGCGAAGACACCAAGAGGGCGGCGAUCUCGUCAUCACUAGGGUCAACCGCAUCCUGGACAGCGGGAAUUUCGUCUGCGUCGCGACGCAACAGAAGACCGGAUACUCCAUCGAGAGCUCGCCAGCCAAGAUCGACGUCCAAUGGAUCAGCGAGUCGAGCGUGCAGCUGCAGUUGCCGAAACUGCCGUCGUUGAUUCACGCUGGCGGAGAGGUGGAACUACGUUGUCACGUUGACGGUUCCGGAGACAUGCGAUACGAGUGGUUUAAAAAUACGAAGAGUGUGGUGAAAAGUGAUCGGAUUGAAAUAAAGAAGAAGAAGCUGUACAUUCACAGAGCCAGUUCCGAAGAUAAUGGAGUCUAUACGUGUUUGGCUCGUAACGAAGCUGGCUCUUCCCCAAUCAUCGAAAGUUUCCCUCUGAUGAUUUAUGCGAACGAGACUGCAAUCAUCAAGAUGGUGCCUCAGGAUUUAAUCGUGAAACGCGGCGAACCCGCUGUUAUGCAUUGCACAUACGAAGAUGCCGAUGUCGUACAGUGGUUCUUUAAAGACAUCGGUCCUUUGGAGUCAGAUGACGAAAAGGUCAUAUAUGAAAACGGUACAUUGGUUAUCAAAGAGGCGGAGCAUAAAGACCAAGGAUUUUAUUCUUGCCACGGUCUGAAGGGCGAAACUAUACAAGUCUAUUCGGCUGAAUUGCAAAUUGCCUACCUGAGGAACUUAUCCAUUGCUUCCUUCGAACCGACUCUGGUGAAUCAAUUGGCGAUCGUCGGUGAGAAUCAGGAGCUUCAGGUCAGUUGCCUGGAACCCGCGGGACUUCCGACACCAAAAGUGUAUUGGAAGGAUCCUAGAGGACACAUUAUCAGUGAUUCCGGACAAGUACGGGUCCAGGAUAAUACGUUGAUCAUCGCUAAGGCCAGAGUAGGCGAGGACGAUGGAAACUACACUUGCGUAGCGGAAAAUUCUGCCGGAGAAACGGAGAUGGAUGUACAGGUUGUCAUAUCUACGCCAGCAAUGCUGGUCAGUUCCUCGGAGUCAGUGACCAUAAUGGAGGGUGAUCCUGCCAACCUUACGUGUUCGUACGUCGGCAUGGAACCACCGAUCACGAGUAUACGUUGGUUAAAAGACGGUGAACCUUUAAAGGAAACUGGCGGGCCUACCAGACAUCGCGUUACCGAUCACCACGGAAACGUAACCCUACACUUCAAAAGCACCGAUCUCUCCGAUAAGGGAGCUUACGCAUGUGAGGUUUCCACGAAGGGUUUUGCACCUGCACUCGGCAAGGAGACGAUUUUGACCGUCAAGGAGAAACUGAAAUUCUCACCGCCCCCAGUCGAUAAGAGAUUAGAACUGGGUUCUACCAUUAAAGUGUCCUGCAAGGCCCAAGGUGCAACACCGCCCAUUGUGAAAUGGGUGAACGAGAACAAUACCGAAGAAUUUCCUAGUCACGUCCAAGAUAUUCACGGAACCCUGCAUUUUAACGGAGUCGUCGAGGAGGACAAGGGACGUUACACUUGCAUAGCGACCAAUGCGCAAGGCUCUAUAAAUCACACCAUUACCAUCGACGUUGUGAUUGCUCCAAAAUUUACAAUCCAACCGCAAAAUCCUACCGAAGCGAUCGAGGGCUAUCCAGUGAUGCUGCAUUGUGCUGCGGAUGGCGAUCCAAAGCCCACCAUUCAGUGGGAUAAAGAUUCCAAAAUGAACAAUUUGGACAGUCCAAGGUUCGAGGUGCUAUCCAAUGGCAGUCUUUAUAUUAACGAGGUACAUCUGGGAGAUGAAGGCAAAUACGGUUGCACAGCAGGAAACAGCGGAGGUCUUAAGCGAGAAGAGGUUCAACUGAUCGUGAAAGCCGGCGAUGGAUAUCGAUCCGAUAUGGACUUAGAUGCAGGCGACGACGGAUCGAUGAUGACUAAAACAGUGACGAUUACACUCGGUGCUGCUGCUGCAUACAUGGUGCUGGUCGUUGGUUUAAUGUUGUAUUGUCGAUAUCGCCGGCGCCGUAGGAAACAGCAGUAUUUGCAGGAACAAGCAGAAGAAAAAUUGGAGAAUGGGGACGUCCAGGAAGAGCAGACCGAGUUAAAGGAGACCAGUCACAAUUCGAAUAAGAAAAGAGAAGCUCGUGAUUCACACAAGAGCGAUGGCGCAGAUACGGCUCAGAGUCAAAGCAGCAGUCAAUCGAAGAAGUCCAAGUCAAAUUAUGACAAAAUAGCUGCUUCCAGGAGUAAUCUUAAAGAACUGAAGCCCCUAGGCCGAGGAGAAUUCGGUGAUAUCUUUGUAUCGAAAUAUCAGAUAGACGUUGAUAAGGAAACCUUGGUUAUGGUUAAGAGUUUAGUACACACUAAAGACGAGACCGCAUUGCAAGAAUUUAAACGACAUUUGGAUUUGUUCCACAAGUUGAAUCAUGAGAACGUGGCAAAGUUAAUCGGUCUUUGUAGGGAUGAGGAGCCUGAUUAUAUGAUCCUGGAGUACACAGAUUGGGGAGAUCUCAAGCAAUUCUUGAUUGCAUCUAGAAAGGAUAGCUCUUCCAGCCCUACUCACGAACCGAAGCCUCGUGCCCCUCAAUUGUCCGUAGCUCAAAUAUUGUCCUUGGCCAAUCAAGUGGCUCGAGGUUUAAAACAUUUGGCCGACAAUCGUCUCGUUCACAAGGAUAUAGCAACGCGAAACUGCUUAAUAGCUAGCAAUCUUACCAUCAAAAUUUCUUUGCCAUGUAUGACCAAAGAACCGUACCAUCAAGAGUACGCUAAACAUCGUAACCAAGUGAUACCACUCAGAUGGUUGCCAUACGAAGCCGUAUACGAGGAUGAGUACUCGACGAAGAGCGACGUAUAUUCUUUUUCUUGCCUCUUGUGGGAAAUCUUCCAUCAGGGCGAGUUACCUUUUAAUAAACUCAACGACGAUUCCGUACUUUCGCAACUUAAAGCGCAAACCUUGGCAUGGAAAGCACACAAAGCAGCGCCUCCUGCCUUGCAAGAGUUACAAGCAUCCUGUUGGGCUUACGAUCCUAGGGAGAGGCCUACUUUCGACGAAGUGGUUUCGAAAAUAGGUGAAAUCGUUGUAGACAGUUGUCUAUAGUUUGUUGCCUGACGAGACGAAAUCGAGAUAGUAUACUAUUAAAAGGCCAGAAAUCCAAGAACGUACGAAAUGCUACAGAACGCGAUAUUUAUUUCUUUUACUUUCGUCAAAUGCAUUUUAGAAAUUGCAAUAGAUCGAAGUUUCAUAAACGUCGCCUUCCAAGUGUCUUGCCUUUCCAGCGACACAACGCGUUUUAAACCGGUAUUAUACGUCGCGGGCAACAAACGCCUCCUGCACGGUCGGCCUAAUAACGAUGCAAAGUGUGGAUAGAAAUAAUUAAACGAAACCGCUCACGUACUAGCUACUCGUCAACCGAAUACAACGUCGAUCUAUUUUGGAGCCAUUGGAAUGCUUAAGAAUAUUAGCAAUAAGGGCAGGAUAUCGUGCAAUUCUUGUGAAAUUGAUUUCGUGAUUUCAUAAGAGAUUUUCGACUGCGAGCAAACGAAUGCUUACGGUUAGCAUACGAUUGCAAAUCAUAUUACGGUUAGCGUGGUAAACUUGAAAGGUUGGUUGCAAAAUGACGAUAACAUUAAGGAUAAUCAUACGUAACCGUCUAUUCCACGCAGUUUACGAAAAUGUUCAGUCUUCGGUUUCAUCGAUCGAAGAGAGAACGAAGUCAGUUGCGUUCUCGUGUCAUUUUUCAAUUAUUUAGGAAAGACGAAUGCUUCAUACCUCAAUAUUUAUUCCCUGUAGCACUUUCGUUAAAACAUCGUUUUCUAUUCCACUUUAAUCAUCAGUCAUUUUUAGACGGUUUUUAAACGAUGACGCCGUCAGAGUGAGGAAGCGUCGUCUAGGCUAAUCGUAAUACAGUAUUUUAUAGCGUCCACUAGAGCGAUAAGAAUAUUUAUUUGUAAUAGAAACACCGUUCCAGUGACUGCUCUCGUCGAGUAUAGAGUCUAGACAGACCCAGCAUUAGCUACGCUAUCGUAAACUUGACAGAAUAUAUAGUAUUCAGUGUCGUUAUUAAUAUUAAGAGUAAUCAUUUAACACGAAAUACUCAGAAGAGAAAUUAUCGAUACACGAUUGCCGAACGCCAUCGAACAUUUUUCAGUGAGAUAUACACUUUCCAGAGACUCAAAGACUGCUCUAUCGGUGAUCAGAAGUGCUCGACUUAUAUACGAUCCACGGAAUCAAUCGAAUCAUUACGUAUGCAGUAUGAAAGUACGAAACCAUCGGGAACUAAACGAUAACUAAUCGCCAUGUGCUGAAUCCCACAUGCGAUUUCCAAUCGAAAAAAAUUGUUUAGAAAAGAUCGGUAAUUCAUAUUUACACACGAUGGAAGGCGAAACGGUAUUUGUACGAAAACGAACACGUACGUACAUAUAUAUUGAAAUUCCGAUGCAAAGAACGGUUAACGAUCAACGAAACCGCCAUCGUUAAUCAUGUGCUGACUAGAAUUUUGCAACGCGUCAUAUAAUUUGAUAAUUCAGGUAUCGUCGAGAUCGUACGACAUAUUACGCAUUUUCUCAUGCAAAGACGAACGCAAGUAAUCCAUUGAAUCGGGGACUGCCGUUUACAACGUAUUCGUCAAAUCCAAAUGGAUCUAUUUCAGGUACAAAUAUUUAGAAUGGAAGCGAAAUCUCUGCCGUUAAUUACGAAGCGUUGAGAUAUCUGGAUACCCGAUGUAUCCUUUCGAUCGGUUCAUCGAUGUACACAACGAAAAUAAUGCCAGUUCUACACGUAGUUCUUAUCGAACUCAGUGGAACGUGUCGAUAACGAACAGCAACGUGGAUGCUAUUAAUUAUAGAACAUUAAUUCAUUUAUUACAAUGCGUCUAAUCGCAGAUCAAAGUAUCGAUAAUCGUAUGGCCUUAGCGGGGGCUAUUAAAUGUAAAUAAGGCUUAACUUCGUAUGUCUAAGCUCCUGCUUUUUGCAUGCGUGACGCGUGAUAUCGUCGAGUUAUGUGUGCUUCACGCAAGGAGUAGCUUAAUCGAUCACGGUAUCAUAUGUAUAAGUAAGGCGCGUGUACGCGGUGUAAUGCGACCACGAACAAUUUAUCCGAUUUCGCAGUGACUUACAAUAUACAUGGCCAAAAUCUUAAAGGUACAAACCAAUGGCAGUAACACUCGGUGAAACGCAUCUUAGGCAGUACUGGUAACGACAAGACCAAUCGCACACAGGAUUCCACGUCAGUCUUGUUUGGCAGUUUAAUAAUGUAAUCGUUUCCACAUAUGCAAUUUAUGCGAGAAACGGCUAACGAGUAUUUACUUUUAUAAGUAUCAGUUAAUUACAGUGUUUAACCACUUUUGCGAUUAUGUAGUGCAGUGUAGAUAAGAUCUUCAUACCACUCACGCUGGAAAUCGAUCGACGUAUACAAAUUGAAUAUUAAAAAAUAUGACAGAAAGGCAAAACCUCGGCAUGUUUAUCUAGUCACUUAUGACAAUGCGAAAUGAUGAGUGAAAGCGACUUCGUUUAUACGAUGUUCAUAUCCUAGGCAGGCAAAAACAGCUUUUCUUUAAGGUAUUCUGUAAAUAUUUGUACUUUUUUAACAAUUAUAUACCUGUGAAUUUAUUAAACAGUACGUGGUACAAUGAAAUAAAAAUGAUCCGAACAGAAUAUCAAGCAUGAAAGGUCGAUUUCUUAUCAUCAUGGCAGGAGAACGGGUGGCAACAGAUUUUUCUUUCUGAGGUCGAAUAAAGUCAAACAUUAUUCAAGUUCCUUUACCAUUU